GUAGGGAAUAUUGCACAAUGGAGGAAACUCUGAUGCAGCGACGCCGCGUGAGUGAUGAAGGCCUUCGGGUUGUAAAGCUCUGUCGUACGGGAAUAAUAAAGUGAAUGUACCGUGCAAGAAAGGAUCGGCUAACUUCGUGCCAGCAGCCGCGGUAAGACGAGGGAUCCUAGCGUUGUUCGGAAUCAUUGGGCGUAAAGCGGGUGCAGGUGGCUCUGUAAGUCAGAUGUGAAAGCCUGAGGCUUAACCUCAGAAGUGCAUUUGAUACUGCGGAGCUUGAGUGCUGGAGAGGCUACUAGAAUUCCAGGUGUAGUGGUGAAAUACGUAGAUAUCUGGAGGAAUACCGGAGGCGAAGGCGGGUAGCUAGCCAGACACUGACACUCAGACCCGAAAGCGUGGGGAUCAAACAGGAUUAGAAACCCUUGUAGUCC
RNAcentral lists this ribosomal RNA (428 nucleotides) under uncultured bacterium. Its description in RNAcentral is "bacterial SSU rRNA". It matches the Rfam family "Bacterial small subunit ribosomal RNA", at positions 354 to 796 of the family's 1533-position model. The record is from RNAcentral.